This 473-nucleotide ribosomal RNA is filed under the name Treponema sp. oral taxon 227. Its description in RNAcentral is "bacterial SSU rRNA". It matches the Rfam family "Bacterial small subunit ribosomal RNA", at positions 29 to 484 of the family's 1533-position model. The record is from RNAcentral. Lineage: Bacteria; Pseudomonadati; Spirochaetota; Spirochaetia; Treponematales; Treponemataceae.
AACGAACGCUGGCGGCGCGUCUUAAGCAUGCAAGUCGAACGGCAAGAGAGAAGCUUGCUUCUCUCCUAGAGUGGCGGACUGGUGAGGAACGCGUGGGUAAUCUGCCCUUAAGAUGGGGAUAGCCGCUAGAAAUAGCGGGUAAUACCGAAUACACUCACUAAACCGGAGGGAGUAGUGAGGAAAGGAAGCUAAGGCUUCGCUUGAGGAUGAGCCUGCGUCCCAUUAGCUUGUUGGUAAGGUAACGGCUUACCAAGGCGACGAUGGGUAUCCGGCCUGAGAGGGUGAUCGGACACAUUGGGACUGAGAUACGGCCCAAACUCCUACGGGAGGCAGCAGCUAAGAAUAUUCCGCAAUGGACGGAAGUCUGACGGAGCGACGCCGCGUGGAUGAAGAAGGCUGAAAAGUUGUAAAAUUCUUUUGCUGAUGAAGAAUAAGGAUAAGAGGGAAUGCUUGUCUGAUGACGGUAAUCGGCG